GGGCAUGUAGCUCAACGGUAGAGCUGUCGUCUUAUACACGACCGGUUCCUGGUUCGAAUCCAGGCGUGCCCACCA
This 75-nucleotide transfer RNA is filed under the name Candidatus Wildermuthbacteria bacterium GWA1_49_26. RNAcentral describes it as "tRNA-Ile". It matches the Rfam family "tRNA". Rfam says of the family: Transfer RNA (tRNA) molecules are approximately 80 nucleotides in length. Their secondary structure includes four short double-helical elements and three loops (D, anti-codon, and T loops). The record is from RNAcentral. Lineage: Bacteria; Candidatus Wildermuthiibacteriota. RNAcentral also lists the same sequence under 8 other names.